This 1885-nucleotide long non-coding RNA is filed under the name Homo sapiens (human). RNAcentral describes it as "HSALNT0402052". The record is from RNAcentral. Lineage: Eukaryota; Metazoa; Chordata; Mammalia; Primates; Hominidae.
AGGAAGAAACUACUGUAAAGAUGAAAAAAUACACAAACAAUGAAGGAUUCUGCAUUCAGAUAUCUUUGGAUUUCUCAGCCAAGCAUCAAUGAAUCUUGAAUCUCAGCUGAUGACACUCCUGGGCAAAAUGGCUAUGAAACUGGAAAGAUGUCUAUGAAACACACAGUCCCUCAAGCCAGAAAAUGCACUUGACACAUCUGUGUCCCUUGAGGAACCUGAAGUUUUGGUGAAUCCAGAAAGCCAUGGAUGGCAGAACUGACCACAGAAAAAGAAACAGAGGCUCAGAAAGGUGAAGCCAAUUGCCUGAAGCCACACAGAAUAUCAGCUGGAGUCAGGAUUCUAACACCAUCCCAUGUAGCUGAUGCUAUCUACUGCCAGCCUGGAGCCAGGCUAAGAGGAAGAGAAAGAAGAAAAUGCCUGCAGAAACAUUCUAUGUAAAGAACACUUUGGGAUCAGAAAAAGAAGCGCGCCCGUGUUUCACUUGCAGCCUCACCCUGCACUAGGUAACCCUCCUUCCUCCACUGCACAAUCACUUAGAAACUGUAACUCUUCUUGGGCCCAGGUGCACAGGUAAAUUCGGAUCUUUCCCAAGGGAUCUCUGGGGCCUCGGGUCACAGCAGACCAGAACUUGACCUGGAGGCUGGUGUCCCCCAAACUGCUGUAUGGACCCUGCAACAGCUGGGGAGUCCUCGUCUCAACAGCCCUGCUGUCUCCCACUGAGGUCAUCUGCUGGCCCUCCUGGUGGCCCUGUGAGGAAGCCAGGAGUCACUGAUGCUGCUCUAUCGACGGCGACAGAUGGAUCACAGCUGAUAAGUGACUUGCCCAGAGUUUUGCAGCUUGGAACUCACAGAGCAGAAGCUGGGAAUCAGGUGGGGAAGCACCCAGCUCUCUGCUUCUCCUAAGCCAAGCUCUGCAGCGAGGUCCUGCUUCCCUCGGGACUCCUCUUUCAGCAUGACAUGAACUCAUUUUGAAUGUAAAGGCAAUGUCAAAGCCCUACAGCUAUUUAUACCAGAGCAUGUGUUUAUUAGCUCACUCUCCAGGGGGAAUAUUGCUGUUGUGAAUACACAACUACUCAUAACUACCGUCUUAAAAAUCUUCUCUACCCCAAAAUAUUUACUAAUGUAUUUAAGUAUUUAUUUUCUUGUAGUGAAAGGAAAUCAAGAUAAUUCUAAAAUUGUGGAAGAAAACAAAAAAAGUAUAAAGGAGAAAACAGAAGCUUCACAUAUUCUAACCAUUAUUAAUCUCAAAAUAUUUUAUUCCAGGUCCUUGUCUAUGGUCCAGGUCCUUGUCUAUGGUCCUAUAGCCUAUGCUGAGUGACACUGUGCUAUGUGUAUGCCAUUUGCACUCACCGUGGGGUCAUAAGCGUGCCAUUUCCUUUUUAUUAAAAAAAUACUUUGCAUACAUGAAAGUAUGUUUGCAUUAAAACUAUGCAAACAUCAGUUUUAAUAACUGUAUAAAUAUUCCAUCACAAGGACAUUCCAUAAUUUAUUUAAUCACUUUGGUAGUGUUGGACAUUUAAUUUUUUAAAAAGUCAAAUAAUGCCAGGAUUAAUGCCUGUUUAUAUGAACCAGUUUUCAUUUCCUGAUUAUUUUCUUCGGCCAGAUCCCCAAAAGUGGAAUUACUGAUAAAAGUAGGUGAGUGUUUUUAACACAUUUCUUCUUAUACACACACACACACACACACACACACACACACACCCAUCAACAAAUAGUUUUUCCUGGAAGGAACUUCCAGUAGUGUAUGAGAAAGCCUAUUGCACCACACCAUCCCCAGCAAUGAGAAUUACUACUGUAAAAAAAUCUUUGUUACAUUAAAUUUUUGGAGGACAUCUCAUUUUCUUGAUUGCAUUUGAUUAACUCAAAAUGUAUUUCUACAGGGUGGGGAA